UACGUAGGGUGCGAGCGUUAAUCGGAAUUACUGGGCGUAAAGCGUGCGCAGGCGGUUUGCUAAGACCGAUGUGAAAUCCCCGGGCUUAACCUGGGAACUGCAUUGGUGACUGGCAGGCUAGAGUAUGGCAGAGGGGGGUAGAAUUCCGCGUGUAGCAGUGAAAUGCGUAGAGAUGUGGAGGAACACCGAUGGCGAAGGCAGCCCCCUGGGCCAAUACUGACGCUCAUGCACGAAAGCGUGGGGAGCAAACAGG
This 253-nucleotide ribosomal RNA is filed under the name uncultured bacterium. RNAcentral describes it as "partial 16S ribosomal RNA". It matches the Rfam family "Bacterial small subunit ribosomal RNA", at positions 524 to 776 of the family's 1533-position model. The record is from RNAcentral.